UGAUGAGGAGUUAAUCGGGAUGCGCUC
RNAcentral lists this non-coding RNA (27 nucleotides) under Rattus norvegicus (Norway rat). Lineage: Eukaryota; Metazoa; Chordata; Mammalia; Rodentia; Muridae. The record is from RNAcentral.